RNAcentral lists this unclassified non-coding RNA (231 nucleotides) under Basidiomycota sp. RNAcentral describes it as "partial internal transcribed spacer 2". RNAcentral also lists the same sequence under 2 other names. Lineage: Eukaryota; Fungi; Basidiomycota. The record is from RNAcentral.
AGUUCUCAUACUAUAAUUUUUUCUUUUGAAAAAUGCAUGGUGUGGAGUUGGGCAUUGCUAAUCUUUAUCGAUUUGGCUUGCUUUAAAUGUAUUAGCUGAUCCUCGUUGCAGACUUGGUUCUACUUAGCGUGAUUAAGUUUUGACCGCUAAGGACAUCCUACCUUCACGGGUUUGGGUGGCCAGGAUUGCCUUGGAUUGCUUCUAACCGUCUCUUAGAGACAACUUUUCAAU